AACGCAAUAAGUAUCCCACCUGGGGAGUACGAUCGCAAGGUUGAAACUCAAAGGAAUUGACGGGGGCCCGCACAAGCGGUGGAGUAUGUGGUUUAAUUCGACGCAACGCGAAGAACCUUACCAGGGCUUGACAUCCUACUAACGAGGUAGAGAUACGUUAGGUGCCCUUCGGGGAAAGUAGAGACAGGUGGUGCAUGGUUGUCGUCAGCUCGUGUCGUGAGAUGUUGGGUUAAGUCCCGCAACGAGCGCAACCCUUAUUGUUAGUUGCUACGCAAGAGCACUCUAGCGAGACUGCCGUUGACAAAACGGAGGAAGGUGGGGACGACGUCAAAUCAUCAUGCCCCUUACGUCCUGGGCCACACACGUACUACAAUGGCGGCCAACAAAGAGAGGCGAGACCGCGAGGUGGAGCAAAUCUCAAAAAGCCGUCCCAGUUCGGAUCGCAGGCUGCAACCCGCCUGCGUGAAGUUGGAAUCGCUAGUAAUCGCGGAUCAGAAUGCCGCGGUGAAUACGUUCCCGGGCCUUGUACACACCGCCCGUCACACCAUGAGAGUCGGGAACACCCGAAGUCCGUAGCUUAACCGCAAGGGGGGCGCGGCCGAAGGUGGGUUCGAUAAUUGGGGUGAAGUCGUAACAAGGUAACCGU
RNAcentral lists this ribosomal RNA (646 nucleotides) under uncultured bacterium. RNAcentral's name for it is "bacterial SSU rRNA". It matches the Rfam family "Bacterial small subunit ribosomal RNA", at positions 854 to 1503 of the family's 1533-position model. The record is from RNAcentral.